GAGUGCCAAGGAAAUGUUUAUGUGGAGGAGGAUUACACGGUGGAGGUAGAAGAAGAGAAGAAGAAACACAGUUUGCUUGAGAAACUUCACCGAUCAAAAAGCAACAGCUCUAGUUGCUCUGUAAGUACAAUUUACUUGGUUUUUUUAAAUAAUUCACAUAUUCGAUCUAUUAUUAUUGAGACCGGUCCAUAGGAAUUCAACUCUCAUGUUCGUACUCCUUUCUAAUUUUUAUGUCUCAUUUGAUGUAUUUAUGUAAGGUAUAUAAAUUUUUUAUCUAUUUACAUAAUUAACUAUAAAAAAAAAAUUAUAUCUGCAGUCACACUAUAUAUAUAUAUAUAUAUAUAUAUAUAUAUAUAUAUAUAUAUAUCGGAAAUGAUAGAAGAUGAGAUAAUAAAUUUCGACGCAAUCCAUAGUCAUACUCGAUGAAACGCAAAAUAGUUUUGCUGAUCAAAUACUAAAGGUUUUAUAAAUACCUGAUAGUUUUUGGUAUUUAGUUAACACACCUAUUCAUCGCACAUAUAUAAUGUUUUUCACUGUCAUUGAGUUGAUGUAUGCAUGUAAAUAAUGAGCUUUGCUUUGCCAAGUCUACCCUUCAUUUCUUUCAAUUGGAAAUAUCCUUAUAAGAACUCAAGUUCUAAGUUAUCCGUGCAAUAUUUACCCAUUUUUUAAAUUCAUUUGUUGUUAUUUUUUGUGUAGCUGUGUUUUUUAAUAAAUAUUUUGGUGGAAAAUAUAUAUGCAGUCAAGUGAUGAGGAAGAAGUUGAAGAGGGAGGGGAGAAGAAGAGUUUGAAGGAUAAGAUCAAAGAGAAGAUUCACAAGGAAAAGAAAGAGGACACAAGGGAUUAUGAGGAUCAGAAGGAGGGCUUGGUAGACAAGAUCAAGGACAAGAUACAAGAGCACCACCAGAAGAAGUCAGAAGAAGAAUAUGUAAUCCCUUCUCCGUCAGCCGAGUAUGCCACCACGGGUUAUGAGGAGAAGGAGGGCUUGGUAGACAAGAUCAAGGACAAACUACACGAACACCACCAUAAGAAGUCAGAAGAAGAAUAUGUGAUCCCUCCUCCGGCAGCCGAGUAUACCGCCACCGGUUAUGAGGAGAAGGAGGGCUUGCUAGACAAAGUAAAGGACAAGUUACACGAACACCACCACAAGAAGUCAGAAGAAUAUGUGAUCUCUCCUCCAGCAACCGAGUAUGCCUCCAGGGAUUAUGAGGAGAAGGAGGGCUUGGUAGAUAAGAUCAAGGACAAGCUACAUGAACACCACCGUAAUAAGUCGGAAGAAGAAUAUGUUAUUCCUCCUCCAGAAACUGAGUAUACUGCCACGGGUUAUGAGGAGAAGGAGGGAUUGGUAGACAAGAUCAAGGACAAGCUACAUGAACACCACCGCAAGAAGUCAGAAGAAGAAUAUGUGAUCUCUCCUCCAGCAGCCGAGUAUGCCGCCACGGAUUAUAAGGAGAAGGAGGGCUUGGUAGACAAGAUCAAGGAAAAGAUACACGAACACCACAAGAAGAAGUCAGAAGAAGAAUAUGUGAUCGCUCUUUCGGUUACAGAGUAUGACGCCACGGAUUAUGAGGAGAAGGAGAGCUUGGUAGACAAGAUCAAGGACAAGAUACACGAACACCACCAAAAGAAGUCAGAAGAAGAAUAUGUGAUCCCAACCGAGUAUGUCGCCACGGGUUAUGACGAGAAUGAGGGUUUGGUAGACAAGAUCAAGGACAAACUGCAUGAACACCACCACAAAAAGUCAGAAGAAGAAUAUGUGAUCCCUCCUCCAGCAGCCGAGUAUGCCGCCACAGGUUAUGUGGAGAAGGAGGGCUUCGCAGACAAGAUCAAGGACAAGUUAUACGAACACCACCACAAGAAGUCGGAAGAAGAAUAUGUGAUCCCUCCCCCAGCAGCCGAGUAUUCAGCCACAUGUUAU
Molecule: long non-coding RNA, 1915 nt
Filed under: Panax ginseng (ginseng)
Lineage: Eukaryota; Viridiplantae; Streptophyta; Magnoliopsida; Apiales; Araliaceae
Description: long non-coding RNA (PGIN_LNC009446)
Source: RNAcentral